RNAcentral lists this ribosomal RNA (817 nucleotides) under Pareas margaritophorus. Its description in RNAcentral is "partial large subunit ribosomal RNA". The stretch from base 211 to 328 matches the Rfam family "Bacterial large subunit ribosomal RNA", at positions 714 to 852 of the family's 2925-position model. The record is from RNAcentral. Lineage: Eukaryota; Metazoa; Chordata; Lepidosauria; Squamata; Pareidae.
GCUAAAAGCAUAAUAGUAGAUACAAACAUAUAUACGCCAAUAAAACAAACCAUUUGACCAACCCAGUAGAUGUGAUCGAACAGUCCAAUAUCACCAAAGAGUACCGCAAGGGAACCAUUAAAGCACCAAACAGCAAAGAUUAACCCUUGUACCUUUCGCAUCAUGGUUUAGCAAGAAAUCUUAAAGGCAAGAUGAAUCAUAGUCUUUCACCCCGAAACCAGAUGAGCUACCUCAAAGCAGCCUAAUAGAGCGCACCCUUCUCUGUAGCAAAAGAGUGGGAAGACUUUAAGGUAGAGGCGAAACACCUACCGAAUCUGGAGAUAGCUGGCUACCUAAAAAAGAAUAUAAGUUCUACCUUAGGCCCACAACAGCCACCGUAUGACGCCUAAAGAAAUUCAAUAGGAGUACAGGCCUUUGAUUAAUGAUCAACCUACAUUGGAAGGAUGACCCCACGACUCCCCACCCGUGGGCUUCAAAGCAGCACCAACAAAUAUGUCAAAGAAUUAAUAAACUAAUACUAAACCCAAACUAAAAACUCCAAACCCACUAAAGGUAAACCUACAUCAGUAGGUACUACCCUGCUAAAACUAAUAAUAAGACAACCUCUCUAAACGCACCCUUCUUCUAGAAACAGAAAACCUACUAGACAUUAACAGACCUAAAAAGGACAAAAAGAACCCAAUCCACACCAAUACUCCCACUGUGACCCCGACACAGGUGCGCCAAAAAGAAAGAUCAAACACUACAAAAGGAACUCGGCAACCACAGACCCCGACUGUUUAACAAAAACAUAACCUUUAGUCAAUAAACCAAUAUU